RNAcentral lists this ribosomal RNA (468 nucleotides) under uncultured bacterium. RNAcentral's name for it is "partial 16S ribosomal RNA". It matches the Rfam family "Bacterial small subunit ribosomal RNA", at positions 28 to 507 of the family's 1533-position model. The record is from RNAcentral.
GACGAACGCUGGCGGCGUGCUUAACACAUGCAAGUCGAACGGAAAGGCCCUGCUUUUGUGGGGUGCUCGAGUGGCGAACGGGUGAGUAACACGUGAGUAACCUGCCCUUGACUUUGGGAUAACUUCAGGAAACUGGGGCUAAUACCGGAUAGGAGCUCCUGCUGCAUGGUGGGGGUUGGAAAGUUUCGGCGGUUGGGGAUGGACUCGCGGCUUAUCAGCUUGUUGGUGGGGUAGUGGCUUACCAAGGCUUUGACGGGUAGCCGGCCUGAGAGGGUGACCGGCCACAUUGGGACUGAGAUACGGCCCAGUCUCGUACGGGAGGCAGCAGUGGGGAAUAUUGCACAAUGGGCGGAAGCCUGAUGCAGCAACGCCGCGUGCGGGAUGACGGCCUUCGGGUUGUAAACCGCUUUCGCCUGUGACGAAGCGUGAGUGACGGUAAUGGGUAAAGAAGCACCGGCUAACUACGUG